GGGGAGAUACUCAAGCGGCCAACGAGGACAGACUGUAAAUCUGUUGGUUUUCACCUUCGGAGGUUCGAAUCCUCCUCUCCCCA
RNAcentral lists this transfer RNA (83 nucleotides) under Flavobacteriaceae bacterium. RNAcentral describes it as "tRNA-Tyr". It matches the Rfam family "tRNA". From Rfam's summary of the family: Transfer RNA (tRNA) molecules are approximately 80 nucleotides in length. Their secondary structure includes four short double-helical elements and three loops (D, anti-codon, and T loops). Further hydrogen bonds mediate the characteristic L-shaped molecular structure. tRNAs have two regions of fundamental functional importance: the anti-codon, which is responsible for specific mRNA codon recognition, and the 3' end, to which the tRNAs corresponding amino acid is attached (by aminoacyl-tRNA synthetases). tRNAs cope with the degeneracy of the genetic code in two manners: having more than one tRNA (with a specific anti-codon) for a particular amino acid; and 'wobble' base-pairing, i.e. permitting non-standard base-pairing at the 3rd anti-codon position. The record is from RNAcentral. Lineage: Bacteria; Pseudomonadati; Bacteroidota; Flavobacteriia; Flavobacteriales; Flavobacteriaceae.